This 1042-nucleotide long non-coding RNA is filed under the name Apteryx rowi (Okarito brown kiwi). Its description in RNAcentral is "lncRNA (ENSARWG00000018786.1)". Lineage: Eukaryota; Metazoa; Chordata; Aves; Apterygiformes; Apterygidae. The record is from RNAcentral.
AUUAAAUAAGGUUUUCAGUUUCCACCUAGACUGGAAAGAGCAGCGGUGGUCGUCAGCCGAGAAGGCAAACUGUCACAGCGAGGAUCUGCCACAAUCCRUUUGGCCCUUCUGAAAAAAAUAAGCAGAAGACUCAGCUGGGGCGUUGAGCAGUACCUAACAAAUUUUGAAGCUAAUACUAAUACUGCUAAUCCCUAGACAUAAAGUGUGAUCGCUGCAGGUGUUCAGAUGGUCUUUUCUUUAUUUCCAAGACAAACUUUGUUCUAUAAGCAAAACUCUCUACUGCGACAAUCCCAGUAAAGCCUAAGAAGCUUGCUUCACACGCCAAAAAUGCUGAUCCUGAAGCUGAACGUUACACGGGCACCCGGUACCGCAGAGAGGGACCAGACAGGUCUGGUUUUGAUCUGCCCACUCUGCAUGAACGAAGCAACAGAAAACAGGAUCUGAUUGUACCAGCUGACCUGAGUUCACACACCCGUAGCCUUAUCAAGUGGAGACUAUUCACACAGUCACACAGUCACGCUGGCUAUAAUGGAGUAAUCAUUAUGCUGAUCUUCCAGACUGUUUAAGCUCUUUUAACAGAUGGAUCUAGUAUGCUUCUGUCUUUGGGUGAUCAUUUCUUUGGUGUACAGUGAUCUUGCUGGACUGGAGUUCAUAUUAUCUUGGCAAGCUCUUUAAGGCAAGUUGUGUUCAUAUUAUAUUCCCUGUACCUUCAGUGUAACUUGCAGUUUCAUCAGAGGGUAUUGUCUCUUUUCUGUUGUAUACCAGAGGCCAAAAGCUGCUCUCUGGCAAUCCCUCGCUCUCCUGUAGGUGAGAUGAUGGCCCACUAAGCACCUGCAGCCUAUACAGGCUUAUUGGGGAAGCAAGAAACAGCCGUUGAACUUUAUGCAGCCAGUAAUGGACCUUCACUCUUACCUUAGUCUGGGGAUAAUGCUGAAAAAAAGGACAGGUGGGAGAGUGAAAUAGUAUUACAAGACUUGGGCUUGCCAGGUGGAACACUGAACAUAAAAUUCAGCUGUAAAUGCAUAAAAUUCAGCUGUAAACG